CCCAUGAAGCCAAGGGCCAGAAGCACACGGAGGAUUCGAAAACGGACAUUUUCCUUCUGUGCUUAAACCAUUCCGUGAGCAGCUGGGUACCGAGGAAAUGAGCAGGUGAUUUCAGAUUUACGAAGCAGCAUCCCGACCCCCUAGGCAGAGCCUUUGAGAACAGAAGGUGGGAGGCUGACAGAGAUAGGUAGAUGUGGGCAUCUGAACCCAAAACAGUAGCUCUGAUUACAUAUGGACCCUUGAACCAGCUGCUAGAAAGGGUUGCCAUGGCGCCAGGAAACUGUCCCUCUCUCAGCACGGAGAAGCCAGGAGUGUCUCCAACCCAUCCCCCACCAUUCCCUUCUCUUGGCAACAAGAACAGAGAUGGGAAGAACCAAAAGUAGGAGAUGUGCAAAAAUGCUCACACUGAGACAGUAACGUCACAUUAAUUUUAUAACAAUCCCAAUACUGGCAAAGGAGUGUGGAACAUUAAACCAGAAACAAAUGAAAGCAGAAAUGUGUCGUGGUCACUUCCAUGCAGAAGCUUAAGGACCAGUGCAUGGUCUGCCAUAUUCUCUUUUCUCUCUGCUCACUGAUUGUUCCAAACCGAGGCUGCUCCUUCACCUUGGAAUGAAGACAAUGUGAAGCAAAGCUGGAGCUAAUAUUCAAUUGUCAUGAGGCAUGAUUGAGAAAUAAACAGUUGAUGUUAUAAGCCA
Suricata suricatta (meerkat) is the source of this 695-nucleotide long non-coding RNA. RefSeq lists it as uncharacterized. NCBI's taxonomy places the organism in Eukaryota, Metazoa, Chordata, Mammalia, Carnivora, Herpestidae. The record is from RefSeq and is a predicted model, not a curated record. The transcript has 3 exons.